Small nuclear RNA from Paramormyrops kingsleyae, 63 nucleotides. NCBI's taxonomy places the organism in Eukaryota, Metazoa, Chordata, Actinopteri, Osteoglossiformes, Mormyridae. The record is from Ensembl.
UUGCUUGCUAUGGCAGCACAUAUACUAAAAAUGGAAUGAUAGAGAGAAGAUUAGCAUGGCCCC